Molecule: transfer RNA, 73 nt
Filed under: Deltaproteobacteria bacterium
Lineage: Bacteria; Pseudomonadati; Myxococcota; Myxococcia
Description: tRNA-Val
Rfam family: tRNA
About the family: Transfer RNA (tRNA) molecules are approximately 80 nucleotides in length. Their secondary structure includes four short double-helical elements and three loops (D, anti-codon, and T loops).
Source: RNAcentral
GGGCGUUUAGCUCAGUUGGUAGAGCGGUACCCUUACAAGGUACGGGUCACAGGUUCGAGUCCUGUAGCGCCCA